ACUUAAAUUGAAGAGUUUGAUCAUGGCUCAGAUUGAACGCUGGCGGCAGGCCUAACACAUGCAAGUCGAACGGUAGCACAGAGAGCUUGCUCUCGGGUGACGAGUGGCGGACGGGUGAGUAAUGUCUGGGAAACUGCCUGAUGGAGGGGGAUAACUACUGGAAACGGUAGCUAAUACCGCAUAACGUCGCAAGACCAAAGAGGGGGACCUUCGGGCCUCUUGCCAUCAGAUGUGCCCAGAUGGGAUUAGCUAGUAGGUGGGGUAACGGCUCACCUAGGCGACGAUCCCUAGCUGGUCUGAGAGGAUGACCAGCCACACUGGAACUGAGACACGGUCCAGACUCCUACGGGAGGCAGCAGUGGGGAAUAUUGCACAAUGGGCGCAAGCCUGAUGCAGCCAUGCCGCGUGUAUGAAGAAGGCCUUCGGGUUGUAAAGUACUUUCAGCGGGGAGGAAGGUGUUGUGGUUAAUAACCGCAGCAAUUGACGUUACCCGCAGAAGAAGCACCGGCUAACUCCGUGCCAGCAGCCGCGGUAAUACGGAGGGUGCAAGCGUUAAUCGGAAUUACUGGGCGUAAAGCGCACGCAGGCGGUCUGUCAAGUCGGAUGUGAAAUCCCCGGGCUCAACCUGGGAACUGCAUUCGAAACUGGCAGGCUAGAGUCUUGUAGAGGGGGGUAGAAUUCCAGGUGUAGCGGUGAAAUGCGUAGAGAUCUGGAGGAAUACCGGUGGCGAAGGCGGCCCCCUGGACAAAGACUGACGCUCAGGUGCGAAAGCGUGGGGAGCAAACAGGAUUAGAUACCCUGGUAGUCCACGCCGUAAACGAUGUCGACUUGGAGGUUGUGCCCUUGAGGCGUGGCUUCCGGAGCUAACGCGUUAAGUCGACCGCCUGGGGAGUACGGCCGCAAGGUUAAAACUCAAAUGAAUUGACGGGGGCCCGCACAAGCGGUGGAGCAUGUGGUUUAAUUCGAUGCAACGCGAAGAACCUUACCUACUCUUGACAUCCAGAGAACUUUUCAGAGAUGAAUUGGUGCCUUCGGGAACUCUGAGACAGGUGCUGCAUGGCUGUCGUCAGCUCGUGUUGUGAAAUGUUGGGUUAAGUCCCGCAACGAGCGCAACCCUUAUCCUUUGUUGCCAGCGGUUAGGCCGGGAACUCAAAGGAGACUGCCAGUGAUAAACUGGAGGAAGGUGGGGAUGACGUCAAGUCAUCAUGGCCCUUACGAGUAGGGCUACACACGUGCUACAAUGGCGCAUACAAAGAGAAGCGACCUCGCGAGAGCAAGCGGACCUCAUAAAGUGCGUCGUAGUCCGGAUUGGAGUCUGCAACUCGACUCCAUGAAGUCGGAAUCGCUAGUAAUCGUAGAUCAGAAUGCUACGGUGAAUACGUUCCCGGGCCUUGUACACACCGCCCGUCACACCAUGGGAGUGGGUUGCAAAAGAAGUAGGUAGCUUAACCUUCGGGAGGGCGCUUACCACUUUGUGAUUCAUGACUGGGGUGAAGUCGUAACAAGGUAACCGUAGGGGAACCUGCGGUUGGAUCACCUCCUUACCUUAAAGAA
RNAcentral lists this ribosomal RNA (1554 nucleotides) under Enterobacter kobei. RNAcentral's name for it is "bacterial SSU rRNA". It matches the Rfam family "Bacterial small subunit ribosomal RNA". The record is from RNAcentral. Lineage: Bacteria; Pseudomonadati; Pseudomonadota; Gammaproteobacteria; Enterobacterales; Enterobacteriaceae.